AAAAUAAGCUACGGGUGGACCAAUAGCAUUACUUUGACUAGCAAUCAGGCUUCAAAGCAGAAAGGAGACGGUUUAUAAAUACGAAUGGAAAACACGGUAGAGCAGAUUGAAAACUUUGUGUGUAGAUAUUGCUUCUCACGGACACAGGCUUGAGGAGUGGGUGUAAAUCACAGGAAUAGGGCACUACCACUACCGUGUCUAUCAGGAAUAGUACGCACUUUGGGUGAAGUUGCUUUAAAAAAUUAGUAAAUAACACACAGCUCCCUGAACAUGGGACAGGAGACCCAAAAAUUAACAAUGCAAAAAAUUAGAGCGAUAGAACACUGCACCGUGUUCAGUGUAGUUACAUGGCUUUACGACAUAAUCUCUACCUUGAUAAAUCUUCUACCUGGCUGUUCUUUGCAUACUUAAUUGGAUAAAUUCAUUAAAUUUUCACAAAGACGGUCUUUCUUCUAAGGGAUUUACACUUGUGCUUGACACAAAUAGGGACCUCCGUGCAACCUUUCGAACUUCUCCCUGCAGAUUAGCUUAUUCCAGGUUUUCAUCUUUAAAGAAAAACAGGCUAGAGAUGAUGCACAGAGAUACAAAUUAGGCUUCGAAACACUUAAAAGUACAAGCAUUCUUUGGAUUGAAAAUAAUAGGUAACAACUGUCACCGUUCUAUGUACUGCAAAAAACUAACAUUCACUGUGAGCGGUCUGACACUAGGAAAGUGUAGGAAAAUAAAGCAUUUUCAUUAAUAUGAUCAGGUAAAUAUUUUAAACGAGAUUAAUUAAAAGUGCGAAUACACAGGAAUAAAAUUCACAUGUUAAUUGAACGCAAUGAUCUUCAAUUGAUUGCCAAGAAUCGAAGUGAGAUGUUCGCGUAUGACUGGAGCAACCCGAGUGGAAAAUGCGAUCUGACCAAUUGUCUCCUCAACCACGGGACUCGAGAUUUAAGUAUCUCAGGAUUUUCAGUAUGGCAGAUGACUUGCUUCAAGAUGAUUACGUUGGACAGCUGGAUUUGGAUGCCGAUGAGGAGGAUGCGCUACUUGAAAAAGAAUUUGAGAACCGGCACUCAAUUUUUCUUGAUCAGGAUGGGGAAAAAGUGCACAGGUAUAAUUUUGAUGAUGAUGAGGAGGAGGACAUUCUGGACAUUGGAGUGCCAGAAGAUUUGGCUUUAAUAGAAUCCGAUUACUCAGCAGCUGUCGAGAAAGCGCCUCAAAGAAUAGUUGAGCAAAAGGAUUCAACCAUCACAAUUACAAAUUUUCCAAAACCGACCACCCAAAACAACCCCAUCUCUAUAUCAAGCAGUGUGGCGAAUGAUAAUGUUUCAGAGGAUAUGCCAUCCUCUACUUCGGAGCUUUCUGUUGCUUCUAAAGGUGAUGGAGGUGGGUUCAAAAGUGCAAAAAAGAUUGUUAUCUUAAACAACAAUCCUACAGGUUUAGCAGUAAAGCCAAAUUUUCAGAUUUUUACCAAGGAGCUUCGCAACCGUAGAGAAAACAACAUCAAGAAACGGCUUGGAGGCCAAAUGAGGCCAGGUAAUGCUCGUAUGAGACCACCAAUGAGAAUGCCUCAUCAAAGGUUUAUGGGGCCGAAUCAAAUGGGUCCUCCUCCAUUCCGGCCUCCUGGCCCUCAAUUCCGAGGUCCAGGGCCUAUGCGGCAGGGUCCUCCACCUAUGCGACAAGGUCCCCCACCUAUGCGACAAGGUCUCCCACCUAUGCGACAAGGUCCCCCACCUACGCGACAAGGGCCCCCACCCCACGCCCAGGGCCACCCCCUCAGCAAAGGACCUCUGGUUUCAUACCUCGCAAGAUCCUCAUCAACCCACAUUUCAAUCAGAACCAGCAGAAUAAAGGUCAAUGGGGCAAUCAAAAUACGCACCCUCCACCACAACAGUUUCAGCAAAUGCCACCGCAACAAGCACCUGAGCCACAAUGGCAGCAUCAACAACCACCUCAGCCACAGUAUAGUUCUCCACCGUUUCAAACUUUGCCUUUGUCUCAGCCCCCACCCAGCAACGAUUUCGGCCUCCUGGACCAACACCAGAAUACAAUCAAAGGCGAGACUUUCCCCUUCCAUCGCCAGUUGUAACCCCUGAGCCACAGUCUUACUAUCCCAAUCAGCCUCAGCCAUAUCGAGCAGAGUAUGCACCGUACCAGGAAGUACCAAGUCAAGCGCAGGAUUCCUCCUAUGGUCCCCCGCAGACGCCCCCCUACCAACAAAACUACCAACAAUACCCACAAUAUGCUGAGC
This 2233-nucleotide long non-coding RNA is filed under the name Bemisia tabaci. Its description in RNAcentral is "lncRNA ENSASIAIIG011352". Lineage: Eukaryota; Metazoa; Arthropoda; Insecta; Hemiptera; Aleyrodidae. The record is from RNAcentral.